This 460-nucleotide ribosomal RNA is filed under the name uncultured bacterium. RNAcentral's name for it is "partial 16S ribosomal RNA". It matches the Rfam family "Bacterial small subunit ribosomal RNA", at positions 339 to 795 of the family's 1533-position model. The record is from RNAcentral.
CUACGGGGGGCUCCAGUAAGGAAUAUUGGGCAAUGGACGCAAGUCUGACCCAGCCAUGCCGCGUGCAGGAUGACAGCCCUACGGGUUGUAAACUGCUUUUGUACGGGAAAAAACCCCCGGUCGAGCACCGGGGCUGAUGGUACCGUAAGAAUAAGCAUCGGCUAACUCCGUGCCAGCAGCCGCGGUAAUACGGAGGAUGCAAGCGUUAUCCGGAUUCAUUGGGUUUAAAGGGUGCGCAGGCGGAAUGAUAAGUCAGUGGUGAAAUCCUACGGCUCAACUGUAGAACUGCCAUUGAUACUGUUGUUCUUGAGUACAUUUGUAGUGGGCGGAAUGUGUCAUGUAGCGGUGAAAUGCUUAGAGAUGACACAGAACACCGAUCGCGAAGGCAGCUCACUAAACUGUAACUGACGCUCAGGCACGAAAGCGUGGGGAUCAAACAGGAUUAGAUACCCCAGUAGUC